Molecule: long non-coding RNA, 1642 nt
Organism: Amphiprion ocellaris (clown anemonefish)
Lineage: Eukaryota; Metazoa; Chordata; Actinopteri; Pomacentridae
Source: Ensembl
UGUAUCUAUGGUCUGAACGUCUGUUAGCAUCUCUGGCUGUUGUUGACCUUAUUUUUGGAGUAAAACACGGUGGAAGCUGAAUUAGUGAGGAUGACUCCUGCUCCUGUCAUCUCUAAGCUCCUCACACAUCUUUACCUGCAUAUGAGGAAAAUCACUCCUGUAGAAUGCAGAUGUUCAGAGGGAGAUGAUGCCACAUCUGGUCCAGCUGAUGGAAGGUCUUGAAGUUCUCUGACUGGCCUCGACUGAAGAUGGUCGUCUCACUGGAUUUAAGAUGCACAAUGAGGGACGUCUGCAGAGACUGAGAAAGAGUCUCACCACAUCCUGACAUGAGGAAAAAGACUUUAUUGAAGACUACAAUGAGAAAAACUAUCAGACAGCAGACGGCUGCAUUCAAGGUGAGAUCUGAACAUUUGAUCUGGAACAGGAAUUCAAUAACGGCAGCAUGAGCUUCAUUUCAGUCUGUAGCUGCUGAAUUCAUGGAUGGAUCAUCUGGCACUAGAGAGGAAGACCAUCAAACAUCCACGUCAGCUGAUGGAGGUCCAAGAGUCUCACCCAACAAACAACCUACAGAGUGAAGACCUCCAAUCUGAUUGGACGGCCUCCUAUUCAGCCACAUGUGUGAACAAAUGCCUCUAAGCUGAUUUGUUUUCUAAAAUGAAUCUAGUUUGAGUCCUAAUCUCUGCCUGUGUGUUUGCUUCUUUACACUGCUGUUAACAGUUUAGGCUGUUAGAUUGUUCCAGAUAAGACAAGUACAAGAUUCUUCAGAGCCGUUCUACCACGAGCCUGACAGGAAGAACUCCAACAGCUACUGAAUGUUCCUGUGGUUCCCUCAAGGCUACAGGAGGAGCCCUACGAGGACGAGCUGGUCCACCUGAUGGAGGCCAGUCGCUGCGGUUCAAAGCCAACACCGACUACGUGGACUUCUACUGGACCACAUGGAGGCCUUCAAACCGGACCAACAAGUUCAGCGACUCCCCGACUCGUGGGUCUGAGGACGCCGCCGAGCCUCGGUCCAGCCGGCCUCCUGUCUGUGGGUGUUUGAGUGCUGAGAGGUUUGUGGAUGCAUGUGAACGUUCUGUGUUGAAACAGCAGCUUUGGACUCAGUAACACCGGGAAAAACCAAGAGCUCCUUUAUUUGUGACUUCCACUAAAAAAACUGAUGAAAAUAAGUUUACCAGGGUUCUGACUGAUAACAGAUUAUUAAAUAAUGAAAAUAAUCCUUUAAAUAUUCCUUUAAACAAUCCUUUUAGGUCUACAUUUCCUUUACGCUGACUUCUUGGUAAAUGUACAAGUAUUUUGGGUGGAAUAUACCAUUAAGCCCAAUGUUCAAGGGUUCUUCUGGGAAUAUACCAUUAAACCAACCUUUUAGGUAAAUGUUCCAGGAUGUUGGGUAGAAUAUACCAUCAGAUCAACCUUUUAGGUCUACAUUGGAAGAUUUUAGAGUAGAAUAUUACUCCAAACCAUCCUUUAGGUCUACAUUUAAGGUGGAAUACUCCUUUACACCAAGAUUUUUUGGUCUACAUUGAAGGAUUUUAGGUGGAAUAUUCCUUUGAACAAACUUUUUAAGUUUAUGUUCCAGGAUGUUGGGUGGAAUUUACCAUCAGACCAACCUCCAAGGUCUACAGUAGUGAAUUUUAGGUGG